CCUACGGGAGGCAGCAGUGAGGAAUAUUGGUCAAUGGACGAGAGUCUGAACCAGCCAAGUAGCGUGAAGGAUGACUGCCCUAUGGGUUGUAAACUUCUUUUAUAUGGGAAUAAAAUGUUCCACGUGUGGGAUUUUGUAUGUACCAUAUGAAUAAGGAUCGGCUAACUCCGUGCCAGCAGCCGCGGUAAUACGUAGGAUCCGAGCGUUAUCCGGAUUUAUUGGGUUUAAAGGGAGCGUAGGUGGAUUGUUAAGUCAGUUGUGAAAGUUUGCGGCUCAACCGUAAAAUUGCAGUUGAUACUGGCAGUCUUGAGUACAGUAGAGGUGGGCGGAAUUCGUGGUGUAGCGGUGAAAUGCUUAGAUAUCACGAAGAACUCCGAUUGCGAAGGCAGUUCACUGGACUGCAACGGACACUGAGGCUCGAAAGUGUGGGUAUCAAACAGGAUUAGAUACCCGAGUAGUC
This 460-nucleotide ribosomal RNA is filed under the name uncultured bacterium. RNAcentral describes it as "partial 16S ribosomal RNA". It matches the Rfam family "Bacterial small subunit ribosomal RNA", at positions 338 to 795 of the family's 1533-position model. The record is from RNAcentral.